AUUGAACGCUGGCGGCAUGCCUAACACAUGCAAGUCGAACGGAGGUAGGGGCAACUCUACUUCAGUGGCGGACGGGUGAGGAAUGCGUCGGAAUCUACCCUAUGGUGGGGGAUAACACAGGGAAACUUGUGCUAAUACCGCAUAAUGUCGAGAGACCAAAGCAGGGGACCGCAAGGCCUUGCGCGAUAGGAUGAGCCGACGCCCGAUUAGCUAGUUGGUAGGGUAAAGGCCUACCAAGGCGACGAUCGGUAGCUGGUCUGAGAGGAUGAUCAGCCACACUGGGACUGAGACACGGCCCAGACUCCUACGGGAGGCAGCAGUGGGGAAUAUUGGACAAUGGGCGCAAGCCUGAUCCAGCAAUGCCGCGUGUGUGAAGAAGGCCUGCGGGUUGUAAAGCACUUUUGUUCGGGAAGAAAUCAUGCUGGUUAAUACCUGGUAUGGAUGACGGUACCGAAGAAUAAGCACCGGCUAACUUCGUGCCAGCAGCC
This 488-nucleotide ribosomal RNA is filed under the name uncultured bacterium. RNAcentral's name for it is "bacterial SSU rRNA". It matches the Rfam family "Bacterial small subunit ribosomal RNA", at positions 30 to 516 of the family's 1533-position model. The record is from RNAcentral.